RNAcentral lists this ribosomal RNA (987 nucleotides) under Hyphantrophaga hyphantriae. Its description in RNAcentral is "eukaryotic LSU rRNA". It matches the Rfam family "Eukaryotic large subunit ribosomal RNA", at positions 120 to 925 of the family's 3401-position model. Lineage: Eukaryota; Metazoa; Arthropoda; Insecta; Diptera; Tachinidae. The record is from RNAcentral.
AACUUUGUCUUUAUGGCAAAUGUUAGAUGCAGUGUAUGGAAUAUCAAAUUUCUAGUAUGAGAAAUUAACGAUUUAAGUCCUUCUUAAAUGAGGCCAUUUACCCACAGAGGGUGCCAGGCCCGUAUAACGUUAAUGAUUACUAGAUGAUAUUUCCAAAGAGUCGUGUUGCUUGAUAGUGCAGCACUAAGUGGGUGGUAAACUCCAUCUAAAACUAAAUAUAACCAUGAGACCGAUAGUAAACAAGUACCGUGAGGGAAAGUUGAAAAGAACUCUGAAUAGAGAGUUAAAUAGUACGUGAAACUGCUUAGAGGUUAAGCCCGAUGAACCUGAAUAUCCAAUAUAGAAAAUUCAUCAUUAAGAUUUUAAUAUUUGUUAAUAUUUUAAUAAAAGUGUGCAUUUUUUCUAUAGAGGACAUUGUAAUCUAUUAACAGAUAUUUUAUUUAUCAUAAGAUCAAUUGCGAAAGUUUAUUCAAAUUAUUUUGCUUGCAUUUUAACAUAGAAUAAAUGCUUUUGAUUUGAUAAAGUGUUGAUAGAUUUAUUAUAUAUAGUGCUGGAAUACUUUAAUAUUCUAUAAUAGCAUAUUAAUUAUUAAUUUUUAUGUUUAUUUUAUGCACUUAUAUGAUUAACAAUGCGAAAGAUUCAGGAUACCUUCGGGACCCGUCUUGAAACACGGACCAAGGAGUCUAACAUAUUUGCAAGUUAUUGGGAAUAAAAACUCAAUAGCGAAAUUAACAUAACUUAAAUUAUUUGGGAUUAGUUUUUAGCCUAUUUAUAGUCUAUUAAUUCAAUCCCGGGGCGUUCUAUACAGUUAUGUAUAAUAAUAUUUAUAUUAUUUAUACCUCUAACUAGAGCGUACCUUGAGCAUAUAUGCUGUGACCCGAAAGAUGGUGAACUAUACUUGAUCAGGUUGAAGUCAGGGGAAACCCUGAUGGAAGACCGAAACAGUUCUGACGUGCAAAUCGAUUGUCAGAAUUGCAGUAUAGGGCG